AUAGCCCAGAGUGCUGCUGCUGGCACUUCGGGGAGCAGGGAUGGAUUGUCGUGGCUGCGUGGGCAAGGGGCUGGUGCACAAUCUAAUGGACACGUGGAGGAAAACCUAGCUUUGCGCCAGAGUCUGAGAAUCAGGGCUAUCGGCUCUAACUUCCAUCCUAACACCAAUUUUAAGGGAGUACCCUACUUUCUCAACUUCAAAAUCCUCCCACGCACCAUCUCCCCCAACAGGUGGACACCUCACCUGCGCAGGAGUCUUACUGAAUGCUAAACAGCCUCGUUGAAAGAACGGUGAAUCUGAGCGAAGACAAACUACUGAAAGGCUCAGAGGAUGAGGUGGCUCUUCUUGCAAGCACCAACCCCUUCAGGUCCUGAAAUCUACCCUCCUACCUGCCUCUAACUUUAGGUACGUAACAAAGUGAUAACAACUUUGACUGUUUG
Long non-coding RNA from Phascolarctos cinereus (koala), 440 nucleotides. RefSeq lists it as uncharacterized. The record is from RefSeq and is a predicted model, not a curated record. Lineage: Eukaryota; Metazoa; Chordata; Mammalia; Diprotodontia; Phascolarctidae.